Molecule: small nuclear RNA, 103 nt
Organism: Homo sapiens (human)
Lineage: Eukaryota; Metazoa; Chordata; Mammalia; Primates; Hominidae
Source: Ensembl
GUGCUCGCUGCGGCAGCACAUUUACUAAAAUUGGAACGAGACAGAGAUUAGCACGGCCCCUGUGCAAGGGUGACAUGCAGUUCGUGAAGGGUUUCAUAUGUUU